GCGUUGCUCGGAAUCACUGGGCGUAAAGGGCGCGUAGGCGGCCAUUCAAGUCGGGGGUGAAAGCCUGUGGCUCAACCACAGAAUUGCCUUCGAUACUGUUUGGCUUGAGUAUGGUAGAGGUCGGUGGAACUGCGAGUGUAGAGGUGAAAUUCGUAGAUAUUCGCAAGAACACCAGUGGCGAAGGCGGCCGACUGGACCAUUACUGACGCUGAGGCGCGAAAGCGUG
Molecule: ribosomal RNA, 226 nt
Filed under: uncultured bacterium
Lineage: Bacteria
Description: partial 16S ribosomal RNA
Rfam family: Bacterial small subunit ribosomal RNA
Source: RNAcentral